CCUCUAGUGGCGUAAGGGUAACGCGACCUAUCUGUUGAACAGGGAGUCGUGAGUUCGAUUCUCAUCGAGAAGA
RNAcentral lists this transfer RNA (73 nucleotides) under Aedes aegypti (yellow fever mosquito). It matches the Rfam family "tRNA". Rfam says of the family: Transfer RNA (tRNA) molecules are approximately 80 nucleotides in length. Their secondary structure includes four short double-helical elements and three loops (D, anti-codon, and T loops). Lineage: Eukaryota; Metazoa; Arthropoda; Insecta; Diptera; Culicidae. The record is from Rfam by way of RNAcentral.